UUCUUUUUUUUUCUUUUUUCUUUUUUCUUUUUCUUUUGCUUUUUCUUUUCAAAGCAAAGCACCUUCGUAACAACUCGGGAUGGAAAGAAAGA
Molecule: non-coding RNA, 92 nt
Filed under: Aurantiochytrium limacinum
Lineage: Eukaryota; Bigyra; Thraustochytrida; Thraustochytriidae
Source: RNAcentral